UCAGAAUGUGGAUAUGAGCUCUUCUCCAGCAAUUCCAACUUUGAGCAUUCCUCCCCAUGGCCUGCCUUUUCUAACACAAACAAAGAGGCCUAUUUAUAGACUUCAUGACUCAUUGGUCAUUUGCUGCUCUACAGCACCACCACUGUUCUGUGCCAUCUGGCAAACAUUUCUAACUGCGUCAAGAGUAUAAGAGCUCAACUCAGAGAGGACAUUUGCUGAGAAACCAGAGUUGGGCUACAAGACAUUGUAGGCUACCAAGAGUUGAAAUGGGUCUUCCAGCCUUGGGUCUGAUACCGUUUUUGGGGCCCCUUGCGUUUCCAGUAGCAUUGGGAACAGUCGCAGUAGGGGGCUUUAUAUUGAUUAAGGCGAUUCAUAAGAAACCUUCAUAUCAUCCAGGAAGUCCCAUAAUAACACGUUCCGUGAAGGUAAAGUCAAAUGAAGCUUCUGGAAAUGAACCCACUGGAAAUGCUGCCAGCAAGAAGACAGAAGGACAGCCGAGCAGCAAUGAAACUACCAUCAUAAUUGCUUACGGCCUUGGAGUGGUUGACACUUAUAAAAAUCAUCUGCUGGCAGAGACAAUCGUAGACGGAGAUGCUGCACUUAUGCUGAGGAAGGCUUUUAUCAUGGGUCAUCCUAUAUCUUCCUGGCAGCUCAGAGAAGACGCAGGAUUGGCCGCACCAUAUACCGAUGGUAACAUUGACAUGUCUGAUGAAGGAACAAGGCACUACUACAGAUGUGGCUACAUUGAGCUGGUCGAAGCGUACCACAGGAAGGGGAUAAUCAACAAGAAUCAAGCAAAACAGCUCAUUUCAUGGGUGGAAAAAGAGAUGCACCUGGACCGGGAUACCCAAGAGUAUAAGGAGAUCCUUGAUUACAUUAAACGUCAUGUUCGUGUUUUCCGGUGGUAGAAAUGGCAAACAAACUCAGACAACACAGAGUAAAUACAGAUUGUGUAAUCUAACAUGCUGACCAGACCGGACACGUCGCGCGCGCGUCGCAAAAUACAUUUAGAAAUACAUUUAUGUACGAUAGCGCACGUGCAUAGAUGUUUGGGUCCGUGUAACGGGAGUUCCCAAGUAAAAAACGUUUCUAUGAUAUGCAAAUUAUGGAAUUCAGUAUAGUUGGAUUCUAGUUUGAAAUAUACUAAUUCAUGUUGCCAUUCUAGAACUCAUUGAUUAAUUUGCAUGUAUAAGGAAAGCAUAUGCUGGGGUCAAGGAAGGGUAGAUAGGGAUUUAUGGAAAGUUACAGUGUAGAAAGUUCAUAUUCUGCUCCAUGUUUCUAAGGAGGGAGUCGAAGGGCAAUAGUCUCUGAUAAGGCAGGCCAGCUGAGAAACUAGGGAGGGGCGAGGAAUGCAUCUUGAGGUCAAGUCAACAAAUGAAGUGAUAAGAAAACUCUGGGAGGCAGGCCAGAGAGACCCACCACAAUGACUCUCCUACUUAUGAGGAUUCUGUGUUAUGCACUAUAGCCUGUUACCAUAUAUGUGAUUGAAUAUUAUCUGCUGUUGGCUUGUGUGGAUGUAUGUAGGUGUUAUGCAACAUAGCUGAUUUGAAACAUUGUUAACAGUUUCAGGACCAUGGGCCUUUCUCAUGAUGGAAAAAUACAAAAUAACAUAAAAACGGACACAUACAGAACAUAGUGUAGCAAACCACAGACUGUUUUUGUUACAACUCAAACUUAACAAUAACAGAAACCAGAUAUGUGAUAACGGUAUCUAGGGAAUGAGCGCAUAGAUACUCGACACAGCAAGUUACAUCUAUCAACUGGAGCGCCCGGGGGCUGGUACCAGCUCGUACGACAACAAUCAACGAUAGGCUGGGUGAGUUUAAACCACGCCCAGUCUCUACUCUGACAGGCCGGCUCGGAAGCCGGAACUACUACUGUCACCAGGGUAUAUUAUAAUAUCUUUGUCAGGAACAAGUCAGUUCUCUGUUUUGCCCUGCGAGGUGGGACAGAGAGCUUGUAUAUACGAAAAUUGCAUUUACCAUUUAUUGCUUAGCUACUAAAAAAUACAUAGUAUACAAUCGGCGACUCAUUGUCAUAUUUAUCCUGAUACCAGAUUCGAAUUGACGCAACUCUAACAUACUGCAGUCCUAUUUCACACAUAUACUUCCAUGCAUGAAGGUUUUAGUAUCAGGCAGUGCUAUAACUACACCAGUGAGAGGGACAAUUGCGUUUCUGCCUAGCAACAGCGAUGUAUUGGCUGUCUAGAUGUGUAAGGACAUUAUCCCACAUAUUAGAAGGUAAUAAAUAUAUCUGCUUGUGUAAUCAUGCCUUGUCUUUGCAGCUGUAUGACCCAGUGGGUGAAUAAACUUGGUUUGAGCUUUGUGUAGUCGUCCGUUUGAGUUUUUGCUCCGUUUGUUCAGAAUCUAACAGUAUAAAUAUCAUAAUGAGGAGUAUAAUUUAUUGUUCAUAAUUGUUGCAACGUUUUUUUGGCCUACUGUAUAGUCUGUGCCUGGUUGAUUAUGUUCAGCAGUGUACUAGUAGUAGAUCCAGUCUGCCUGUUGCAUUUGGUAAAUGUACAGCCUAUAGAUUCUCUGCAAAAUGUUUAGAUUUCCUGAUUCUCUGCAGUUAUUGUAACAUUAUGCAGUGUGCACUAGCUCAAUGCCUGGGAAAACCGUCAUUAAAAUAUCAUCUAUUUUGGAAGCAGCAGACAGUGAGUGGACAUUACUUUCU
Long non-coding RNA from Oncorhynchus tshawytscha (Chinook salmon), 2673 nucleotides. The record is from Ensembl. Lineage: Eukaryota; Metazoa; Chordata; Actinopteri; Salmoniformes; Salmonidae.